CUACGGGAGGCAGCAGUGGGGAAUCUUAGACAAUGGGGGAAACCCUGAUCUAGCCAUGCCGCGUGAUCGAUGAAGGCCUUAGGGUUGUAAAGAUCUUUCAGAUGGGAAGAUAAUGACGGUACCAUCAGAAGAAGCCCCGGCUAACUCCGUGCCAGCAGCCGCGGUAAUACGGAGGGGGCUAGCGUUAUUCGGAAUUACUGGGCGUAAAGCGCACGUAGGCGGACUGAAAAGUCAGAGGUGAAAUCCCAGGGCUCAACCUUGGAACUGCCUUUGAAACUCUCAGUCUUGAGGUCGUGAGAGGUGAGUGGAAUUCCGAGUGUAGAGGUGAAAUUCGUAGAUAUUCGGAGGAACACCAGUGGCGAAGGCGGCUCACUGGCACGAUACUGACGCUGAGGUGCGAAAGCGUGGGGAGCAAACAGGAUUAGUACCCGGGUAGUC
This 438-nucleotide ribosomal RNA is filed under the name uncultured bacterium. Its description in RNAcentral is "partial 16S ribosomal RNA". It matches the Rfam family "Bacterial small subunit ribosomal RNA", at positions 339 to 795 of the family's 1533-position model. The record is from RNAcentral.